Molecule: long non-coding RNA, 1262 nt
Organism: Lates calcarifer (barramundi perch)
Lineage: Eukaryota; Metazoa; Chordata; Actinopteri; Centropomidae
Exons: 4
Source: RefSeq, a predicted model, not a curated record
AGGAUUGGGACGCGAACCUGUCACCUAACGGUUUAUCGUCCUCGGCGAUAUAACUUGUUCUACUCGGACUCUGUUGUGGCCUGAAAUUGUACAUAGAGGUUAAAUAAACUCUGCGGUCACGUCGAAAGGUGCAGGGAUUCAAACUGUCAAGUGAUGCAGAAAGCAGACCUGUCUCGGACGACCUGAGGGGUCUGGAUGUUUCAUAAUGGAGCAACAGGUCAGGAGUUGUACGUGGCCGAUUUUGGACAAGUCUGCUGCGAAGGAAAACAUCAGUUGAAGAGUAGAUUCCAGUUUACCAGUUUACCAACCUGCUACCCUGAGAGAGAUCGUGCAGACUGAUUCAUCCUCCACUUCAUGAUGCGAUAUGAGCGUGGCAUGGAGGUGUCUCGGGUUAACUCAGCUGAUCUGAUCAACCGUGGGGAAAGUUGAGGCUGACCACAUUGAUCACGAGCCUGACAGCAUGUCAGUGUGGGAUCAUUCCUCCAGACCACCUACGCUCCUUUAAAUCGUUCUCCCUCCUUGCUGCCCGGUGCGAGAAUAACAAUUGUGGGUGCACAAAUGUGUGUAGAAGCCUGAAGGUCACUCACACACUGAAUAUGAUGAAGUGAGCCUCGCUGAGUCUCUCUAUAGGUCUCCUACUUCUCAAUUUCAUCUCGCUACCCGCCAGCCUCUCUCUAGUUACCUCUUUUAACUUCUAUUUUGCACCGUCUCUCUGCUUCAAUGUCUUUUAUUCUUAGUCUCUCUCUCUCCCCUUCUUUAUUUCACUUCUGUCCAGGGUUUAAGAUGUCAUUGAGAAACCUUGAGAUAGAUGAGGUCUUCACAGGGAGGCAACCAUCAGCUCAUGCACUACAGUGGAGUUAAAAAUGGUAUAAAUCAGAGAAUAUGAUCAGGAAUGACAGUGCUAUUUGCCUUGGAAAGCCCAUAAACCCUAAUGCAAUAAUGUUUGCAGGAAGAAUGGCAUAAGUUGUCAUAAAAUCAAACAUAUGCUCAAUAUGGGCGCCGCGUGUGUGUGAAAUUGAAUAACCUGCAUCAUGUGACAAAGCAGUCCUAAAAAACAAAUUUGAAUCUCUUUUUUUCCCACCCCUCGCUUCAUGGGAUCCAUUUAAAUGCAAUCAGUGGAAAGUAAAAAAAAAAAAAAAAAGGCAUUUCUGUUCGGUUGAAAUAUGUUUCUCAUUAAAGAUGUCAGUGGGAAAGGCAGGGAUGUUGACGCUUUAAUCGUCUUGCUUUCAUAUACACCGUAAUGGGACUUGAAACAGCUGUGU